RNAcentral lists this unclassified non-coding RNA (336 nucleotides) under soil metagenome. RNAcentral describes it as "partial contains 5.8S ribosomal RNA, internal transcribed spacer 2, and large subunit ribosomal RNA". The stretch from base 1 to 120 matches the Rfam family "5.8S ribosomal RNA", at positions 35 to 154 of the family's 154-position model. The record is from RNAcentral.
GAUGAAGAACGUAGCGAAAUGCGAUAAGUAGUGUGAAUUGCAGAAUUCAGUGAAUCAUCGAAUCUUUGAACGCACAUUGCGCCUCUUGGUAUUCCAUGGGGCAUGCCUGUUCGAGCGUCAUUUGUACCUUCAAGCUUUGCUUGGUGUUGGGUGUUUGUCUCGCCUCUGCGUGUAGACUCGCCUUAAAACAAUUGGCAGCCGGCGUAUUGAUUUCGGAGCGCAGUACAUCUCGCGCUUUGCACUCAUAACGACGACGUCCAAAAGUACAUUUUUACACUCUUGACCUCGGAUCAGGUAGGGAUACCCGCUGAACUUAAGCAUAUCAUAAGCGGAGGA